Malania oleifera is the source of this 550-nucleotide long non-coding RNA. RefSeq lists it as uncharacterized. The record is from RefSeq and is a predicted model, not a curated record. The transcript is spliced from 2 exons. Lineage: Eukaryota; Viridiplantae; Streptophyta; Magnoliopsida; Santalales; Ximeniaceae.
UUUUCCAAGAUAAAUCCUUUAUCAAGCUUUCUUUAGCAAUUUGGAUUUUGAAAAUGGAUUCAAAAAGCUAUAAUAGGAUGGUCCAUAAGUGGGUUAUAAUGGUGAGCUUGGUAAUCAUAGUCACUCAUCCUUUUCAAUAUAAUAAUGCUCGCCAACUCAAAGCAUCAACAUAUGGAGAAAAGGUUGAGAAAAUAGUAAGGGAAAAAAGGGAAAGUAUUGAAAAUGAAGAGAAGGAGAAGGACGGAGCAAGAGCAAUGCAGGGAAGACUGGACUUAGAGGAGGUGAAAAGUCUACUGCCGCCUUUGUCGCCACUUCCAUUUCUACCACCAUUGCAAAGAUCCGAGUUCCCACCCUUCCCUUACUUCCCCCAUCCCCCUCCUCUUACCCCAUCACCUCCCCCACCGUAGUUUCUCACAUUUCCCAUAUGUUAUGGGACUUGUUUUACCUUCUAAAACUCCAGUUGGUUGCUUUUAUUAUUGCUAUGUUAUUUCUAUGUGUUUGUUACCUUGUGUUAAUGCUUUUCCGAAUGAAACCUUAGUAUUGUAGAAAA